GGGCAUAUGGUGUAGGGGUUAUCAUGUUCGCUAAGACUCGCUUCGCAUCCAUUGAAGGAUUCUACAGUCUUUGUGCCAAAAGGUCUCCGGUUCAAAUCCGGAUUUGGCCA
This is a non-coding RNA of Rhodocollybia butyracea, 110 nucleotides long. NCBI's taxonomy places the organism in Eukaryota, Fungi, Basidiomycota, Agaricomycetes, Agaricales, Omphalotaceae. The record is from the annotation of a GenBank genome assembly.